CUUGGAUUGGAAUCCUGGAUCUGGGACUGGGAUCAUAGAUCUGGGACUGGGAUUGGGACUGGGAUCACUGAUCUGGGACUGGGAUCAUGGAUUUGGGACUGGGAUUGUUAUUCCUGGACUGGGAUUGUUAUUUCCCUACUGGGAUUGUUAUUCUGGGACUGAGAUCAUGGAUCCAGGAUUGGGAUUGUUAUUCCAGGACUGGGAUCACUGCUCUGGGACUGAGAUCAUGGAAUUGGGAUUGGGAUCUGGGACUGGGAUCGUGGAUCUGGGACUGGGAUCCCAGCUCUGGGAUGCAGCUCUGGGACUGGGAUCACUAUUUUCCUACUGGGAUUGUUAUUCCUGGACUGGGAUCACAGAUCUGGGAUCCCUGUUUUUGUACUGGGAUUGUUAUUUUGGGACUGGGAUCACUAUUUUCCUACUGGGAUUGUUAUUCCUGGACUGGGAUUAUCAUUUUCCUACUGGGAUUGUUAUUCCUGGACUGGGAUCCCAGCUCUGGGAUGCAGCUCCAGACUGGGAUCGCUAUUUUCAUACUGGGAUCGCUAUUUUCAUACUGGGAUUGUUAUUUUCAUACUGGGAUUGCUAUUUUCAUACUGGGAUUGUUAUUUUGGGACUGGGAUCAUGGAUUUGGGACUGGGAUGAAGGAUCUGGGACUGGGAUCCUGGAUCUGGGACUGGGAUCGCUAUUUUCAUACUGGGAUUGUUAUUUCUGGACUGGGAUCAUGGAUCCGGGAUUGGGAUCAUGGAUUUGGGACUGGGAUCCUGGAUCUGGGACUGGGAUCACAGUUUUGGGACUGGGACUGUUAUUUUCAUACUGGGAUCGAGGAUUUGGGACUGGGAUCACAGGACUGGGAUUGGGACUGGGAUCGGGACUGGGAUCCUGGAUCUGGGACUGGGAUCCCAGCUCUGGGAUG
Molecule: long non-coding RNA, 910 nt
Filed under: Zonotrichia albicollis (white-throated sparrow)
Lineage: Eukaryota; Metazoa; Chordata; Aves; Passeriformes; Passerellidae
Description: lncRNA (ENSZALG00000001414.1)
Source: RNAcentral